Molecule: non-coding RNA, 30 nt
Filed under: Rattus norvegicus (Norway rat)
Lineage: Eukaryota; Metazoa; Chordata; Mammalia; Rodentia; Muridae
Source: RNAcentral
UGGGAAACUCUCAAGGUUGAACGUAUCUCA